RNAcentral lists this long non-coding RNA (13816 nucleotides) under Musa acuminata (dwarf banana). Its description in RNAcentral is "long non-coding RNA (MACU_LNC006069)". The stretch from base 136 to 237 matches the Rfam family "Small nucleolar RNA Z221/R21b". The record is from RNAcentral. Lineage: Eukaryota; Viridiplantae; Streptophyta; Magnoliopsida; Zingiberales; Musaceae.
CGCCGCUCUCCCCUUCUAUAUAUACAUGGAGUUGGCGAUCCGAUCAUCUUCGUUCAGCCGCUGUGGCUUCCCGUAGCCCUCUUUUUCCCUCUUGGUUUUAUUUUUGGUUUUUUGUUAUUAUUUUCUCUCCGUAGCAAGCAGGCGAUGAUGAAGACAACAGUCAUGCACCACUCUGAUGAGGAUUCUCGUCUCAUGUGCUGACAACAAGUCUUAUACCCAUCUCCCUCUGAGCCGCUUCUGCCCGGUAUUCUCUUCUCUUUCUGUUUUGACCCCUUUUUGGCUCUCGAAUUUGUCUUCGGAUCUGCUUUUGUUGGGAAUGUUUUGUGCUCUUGAUGCUAUUGAUCGAAGCAUUCCUUCUUGCGAGCUUCUCUUCUGGAUUUGAUGACAGUAUAAUCUUAUUUACCAAUUUCCUUCUUGUACGACAAUGUUUUUCCUCCUCUUUGGUAUUUGCGGAGUAGAGGAAAGAUCAGAUGAUGAGGGCUUAGGCCCAACCACGAUGCGGACCGAACUGGCUCUUCUUGCGCCCUGUGGAUCCCACGUUUUGUCUGAUGAUCUUGUUCUCUCUUUCCCUCUCUUUUUUUUAUGCGCGUGAUGUACCAGUUUCCAGCGUUAAUCGGAAGCAUCGUUGGGUACCAAUCGGAUUAGAAGCACAGCCUGCAUUUCUUGGGCUUGUACGAUAGGAUUGAUCAUCCUAUCGUUCCUGUCAGAACGAGGACUUGAUCUUGCUGUUUCUGUGCAUGCAUCGGUAAGCAUGGAAUCUUUUCGAUGCAUCUUCGUCGAUCAUAAGCAACUGAAUACGGGUGUCGUGCUUCUCUUGCACUCACUUGACCGAUCUGAUACAUAUAGCUACAGUCGGUGUGUACUUCGAACGCUGAGGCAAAACGGAGGGCAGCAGUCGUGUAGAAGCGAUGUGACCCUCGUACAUAGAUCAUAACUAAUACGUGAUUAGACAGAGCUUAGUAAUUAUCCAGUAAUAUUUGCUCUACUUUUAUCUAAAAUUAAUUUCUUGAUAUAUUUUUCGGAGAAUAAUCUAUAGAAAAUUUUGACGAAAAACUCUUCAUUAUCGGAUUGGUUGAAUAUUAUAUGGAGAUUAUCCAUUAAUAUCUUUAUUUUAAUUUGAAAAUUAUUUUUGAAUUCCAUAUUGGUGGAAGAGUUAUUAUAUAAUUUGAUGAAAAAAGUUCAGUCAAUGAUAGAUCAUUUCGAUUACUUGUUUCUCAUUAAUUCAAAUUAUUCAUUAAUAUUUUUCCUAUUGAAUUUGAAAAAGUAUUUUCUUGCUGUUUCAUAUUAGGGGCAGAAUUAUUAUAAAAUUUUGAUUUAAAAAGUUUUAUUGUCAAAGUUUGGUCACAGUUUUAUAUUAUAUAUGGUAAGACAUGUUUUGCUCCCAGGAUACGUUAAUGUUGAUAUCACACGUCACAUCACAUUGUUCUACACGUCUGGUCUCGACAAUCUUGGGACGGCAACGCCUCACACAUCGAGUCAGAAUCCAUACUGAUAUCGUGUUGUGUUCAUCAUGUCAAUCAACGUACGAUCGAUCCUCUCAUCACAGUAUAAAUAUUUCUAUCCCGGUCUCCAAAAAGAAAAAGAAGAAAAAGGGAGAUUACUGAUUUGUUCGUUAGAGGGGUCAAAGUCGGGGAUCAUCGGAUGAAAGUUAUUUUUGCAAGAAGGAAACCUAACCUCGGGAGUCGUGGAUCGGCGCUCCCACCCCCUACUCGAGGAUCCAAUCGGCGCCGACAACCAGCUCAAUCGACAGGAGGCUUUCGACAUCGAUCCGUGGAUUAAGUCGUGCUGAUUCAUCAUUCUUCGUUCUCCUACACUAUAUAUUCUCAUUGACAUUUUUUUUGCGCCAAGAAUGCUGAUGUUUCAUGUAUAUCUUGCAAUCUAUUAAUCUUUACAAGAUCAGAUCUUGCCAAAUAACUUUGUCAAGGAAUUUAAAUGACUUUGUCAAACUUGCAUUUCUAUCGGACACAAUAAAGGACAAGUGCAAUGAUUGAACACUGGAUAUUAUUCAUCAUAACAACGAUAGAAGGAAGGAAACAGUGGAAGGGAAAUAAGCAGAUGAUGCUUAGUGCAUGACGUAGACGUCCCAUUCUAGAACGGCAUCGCCCAGAGUCUGGUUGAACGAGUAGGUCUUCAUGAGCACGUAGCCGCGUGCGAGCCUGAACGCGCCGCUGCCUCCCACCACCGGGAGCUCUCUCACCGGCGAGAAGAUGGCGUCUCUGCUCAGUAUCGCCAGCGUGCUUCCCUUGUACUCUCCCUCCGUGAACACCAGGUUCACCGUUAGCAUUAAGGCGACGUCGGCCGGGUCCUGCGACGCCAUAGCGUAGAAGCCUUGCGCCCGGCCGACUAGUGGAGAAGACGGGCUUGGUCCGGUGGUCAACAGGUCGUCUACUACGUAGAUGUCGCCGAAGUUGAUGCCCGGUCCCGUGCUCGUCUGAGGCCCUUCGGCGACCCUCACAGCGGUGGCGUUGGGGUUGCUUAUCUUGUCAUGCAUGUAGAAGUGUAGGCGGGUGGUCGGCUCCUUCCCGGCGGCCAAGAUUGCUACGGACGCGAGAGAGAGGAGGAGGAUGAUGGUGCCAUUGAAGGUAGCCAUGCGGGAGGUAGCGAAGCUUCCGUGUGUUGGAAGGUUUGAGGGAUGAUAGUCCUCAUUAUAUAAUGAGGGUUUUGGCCAUUUGAUGUUUAUAAUAUGUGGAAGACCAUGGAACACCAGCUAUUUCAAGUGCGUGCAAUGAUUCCUUCUCUCUCUCUCUCUCUCUCUUAACGAACACAUUUAUUGUAGAUAGACAAAUGGCGGAGUGGACUUACAACAACAGUGUUACAUACAGUUCAUGCCAUCAAAAUUUUGUAAUGCCCAAGUAGUAUUUAUGUAACUGUUGCUUCAUUCAUAGGGAAAUCAUUCGAUUAUGAUCAUACAUACGGCUGAGGUUUAAUAUUGAUAGUGAUUCAACAUCCAUAUCCAAAUCGGAUUUUAGAUUGUGAGAAUCAUACUUGGUCAAAAUAAAGUCGGGUGUGGGAAUCAUAGGGGCCAAUUAUAGGGGUUUGGUCAACGGCACAAGAAGUCUACGAGCUGGCGCGUGCGGCUAACUGCCGGCAUCGUCAAUUCUGCUGUUCCGGCCCUUUCCCAAAGUCAAAAUCUCCACCCUGUACCUGCCUCCCACCUUCCACCCUCAACGAUGGCAGUCCCAUCUCUAUUCUUCGCUCUGUGUUUCAUCAUAACCUCUCUCUCCACCUCCCUCUUUGGUGCUGUUAAGAACUCUCUCGUGCUCGUCAUUCUUAUCCAAUCCUUUCUCUAUCUCCGUGAAUCCAUUACCAUCUCGCGGCAGUACACUCGGCCCCAUGAGGUCUGCCUCCCUUUCUUCUUUCGCUUCUUCUGCGCCCAGAAACAUUGUCUUCUUCAGCGUCUCCAAGGAGGAGAAGAAGAACCUCUUGUACUCCUACAAUGGCGGCGGCCACGAGCUGCAGGCGUUGGCCCUCAACUGGCUGGGCCAGGCCAAACCCUACCAUUCCUGGCACUCCCACACCGCCGACAACAUGACAUUCGGGUUCCUGAUGCACGGCGGGUACACCUUUUUCGCCAUCGACAACGCCGGCAGCUCGGAGAUGCUGCUGUUCCUCGAGCGCCUCCGCGACGCCUUCGAGGCCGCGCCGAAGAACGACAGGGUGGAAGGCGAGCUCAGCUGGGUCGUCAGGAUCGGGGCGGAGAAGGCGUGCACGGAGGAGAGAAAGCCAAAGGACGUCUACGGCGGCGGCGAGUCGAAGGUGGAUGUGCUGCAGGAAGACGCAGGUGGCGUGGUGUCGUCGGGGAGGAGCUCGAGCUCGGUGCUCAAGGCGCAGCAAUGCGCGCGCAGGUUGUGGUGGCGCCAUGCGAAGACCGUUGCCGCGGUCGACGUGCUGCUGUGUCUGGCGAUGUUUGCGGUGUGGUUGGUGGUGUGCGAAGGCCUUCAAUGUGUUGGUCGACGAUGAAGACGAAGUGCAUGCCGGAGCUGUUCAUCCGAAUGGAUUCCAAGUAGUGUUAGCGUGCUGAUCUUAUGGAUGGUCGGUUGGUGGAGACAAUAUUGGACUCUGUGUUAGUCUUCUAAAUGUAUCUAUCUAUUGGUUUGUCCUCCCUAAUACGCCUCAUGGCAGAGAUGUACGGUCGGUUGGUUAUCCAGGGAAUAGACCUUUCGUCACCCAACACUGUUAGUAUUUUACCAUUGUUGUAAAUAAUCUGGUUAACCUGCCUGCUUGCUAAUGGUUUAUUAUUUCCCACUAACCUCAGGCAUCGGACGAAGUCCGACUUCAUGUCAUGUCACCCAUCACAGAUGCCCCAAAAACAACGAUCAUAAGAACAAUACUAAAAUGAUCUUUUACAUGAAGCGGAAGAGAGCAUACAUGCACAUUUUAUUCUCGAACUAAAGUGAAAUAAUAAAACAUAUAGAGAGAUAUAAACAUUUUUCAUAUUCGAUUUUUUUUUCUUUCUGUUUUUAAUUCUAAAUUCUCAACAAUCUUUUCACUGUAAACAGUAUUCGAAAGAAAGUGGAAUUGACAAUCAAAUUUGAUCUUAUCAGCAGCAUCACCAUUGAAAGAUUUGCAUGCAAACCUGCUUAUACAUUUCAUUUACAUAUAAUGAUCCACAUCAGAGUCCGAUUACUAAGACACAAAUUUGGUAGAUGGACACAAAAUAAAAAGGGGAUAAAACAUCCAUAAUUUCUCAUCACUAAAGGAUGAACAUCAAAUAUUUAUGUACAUAAACUAUUAAGGUUCAAGCGAAUAUAAGUGUCUUUAACAUGGGCAACAAACAUAUUUAAAGGAGUAAAUCAUCCUACUUGGACGCAGCAGCAACAUAUCUAUUGUAUCAAUAAAGAAAGGUAUUCUAUUUACUACCGAGGAAAAACACACACAAACAGUGCUAUGAAUGCUUGCUCGCUAUCCUAAUGCAUCAUCCUUUCACAUGUCUGAUCUAACGACACCACUAUAACCAUCACCUAAAGUGUCAUCGUCCAUCCAUCUUUAUCCUUACCAUCACCAGACAACACGGCAACCUUGGUGACAAAAAGACCCCAUGUUGGUUCUCCUAUACCAAUCGCCCAACCUCCACGGAAUAUAACAAAAAGAGCAAGGGAAAAUCGUAUUCCUACUUGGGAAGGGCAGACGCGCCGGCAGUUCUAAUCGGCAACAAUGUCCGCAUCAGCAUCAAGAAAAGCCUUCUCUGAACCAGACUUGGCAGCCUCACUGAUGACUGGAAGCUUUUUCUUCGGACAGAGUCUCUUGGCUUCUUCACUUGUGUAAAUAUAUAUCUUCCUCACCAUACUGCAGAACUCACUGUAUAUCCAUGUACAUAAAUCGAAAUUACUAUGGUGCCAGAUGUUCAGACAUACCUCUCAGAAAGAUUUAAGCAGAUAAUUAUAUUGUUAAAGAGGAAGUUUUUGGAGCCUUACUGCCAAGGAUCAUCGCCGACCAACAUCAUGUCAUCCUCAUCAUCUGUGUAGACAACCACCCACUUCUUAACUCCACCAGAGAGCUCUCCUUCAAUGUCAAACAUCUCUUCCAGCUUCUGCACAAGUUGAUCAUAUCCGAUUAAUCUCGUCAGAUCCACUGCCCUCCCCACUGCCAUACCCUGCAUGUGAACCUGCACAAAGAGAAGGUGCUUUAGCAUACUUUCAAGCUUCAAAUAGCAGCUGCUGCAGGAAACAGAAUUUCUUACCAGCAUCUCUAACAAAAACAGUUUUCCAAUACUUAAAUAAUGAGUUUGCCGUUGCCAAAGGAGUAUAGUUUCAACAUUUAGAUACAAAAAUAUGUUUGUCGAAGUAUGUCAUCAAGUUUAAAAGGAAAAGCAAUCCAUAACCUUUGUGCAGCUUCUCAGUUGCCGGCCUUGCGUCUCCUGAGCUAAUUUUAAGCAUAAAUUCUCUGGCUCACUGUUGACUGCAGCUGCAUCAGACUGGUCAAUGUUCGACGGUUGUGAUUGUUGGUCUGAAUCCGCUUCCAAAGAUGUCGCUGGCUUGUCCAGCCCAACACCUGAAAUUGUAGGAACUCGCGAUGUUUCUUCUAUUUCAGAACUCUCAAAUAGCUGAAUCCCAAACAGCCUGCAGCCUUUGCCAGUUUCCUGCUUUUUAUCACAUGGUUCUCUAUUGAUGCUUGCUGAGAAGGUAUCACUUUGAGUUUCUGUCCUAAUUGGCCAGCACAUGUGGCUACUGGCAGCAGUUGAUGGAGCAAUGUUUGCAUUGAAUCCGAUGGAACUAGGCUGUGAUGCUGAUGAGAAUAGAGAUGUUGGUUUGGAUGGUGAAUAUAGCUUUUCACCUCUUUGUGACCCUGAAAAAGAGAACAUUUGGCUAUUCUCGACCUGGAAUUUCCAAGUACCUGCAAUAAAAUAAUUACAAUAGCGAGACAGGUGCUAAGAAAAUGAUCUGCAGAGAAGCAAUGCAAGAAAAACCAGAUCAUCAUUGCAAGGAAUACAAGUGCAUGAACAAAGGAUUCCGUGUCAAUCUAUAAUGAAUGUAGGCCACCUAAUCUGUCAGAACAUCUUGAGUCCUGAAGAGUUGAAACUUGAUAUGACGCAAAAGACGAGCACAAAAGGUUUCCAAUUUUUUCUUACUUUAUCAGAAAACUUACUCGAAGGCAUGCAAGCGUAAAUUAAUUCAUAGAACGUCAUACACAAUUGGUGGAUGUGUUUAUAAUGUUAUUUCACAUGGAAUCAUCAAGAAACAUUUACUUCAAUUCCGAAGAAAAGACUAAAACAACACCAAUCGUUAAAUCUGGUUCUCAGAUACAAAAGAGAUUGAAAGCAGUUACUGAUGGCAAAAUCCAUACCAGGCGCAGGAGAAGGUUCUGGUAACAUGACAGAUGAAGCUGGUGGUCGUGUUCGUUUGAUUCGCUGGACUGGUUGGGAGGUCGGAGGAGUAGCUGCCACCAGUGGCUCCAAUUCCCAAGGUGAAACACUGUCUGGACGUUGUAUAGAUGAUGAUUCAUCCCAUUGGACCUAAUCAUAAAACACAAAACUCUUACUAGGUUCACGAAAAAUUCUGUGAUCAUUCAGAAAACAUAGUAUAAUCCAAAUGAUAAAAGGUUCCAUGUCAUUACACUGAAAAGAGAAACGCUUUCAGAAACAUUUAUUUGGCAUCAUACUUUGUAUCAUACGAAAAAUUUAUUUGGCAUUAUACCUUUAAGGAUCUCCAUUCUGAAUCUGCCCAUUGAGAUGAUACCUUGUCUAUAACGGCAACAAUAGUACCACUAAAUCUGUAACAAUAUAGAAUGUUAACUUAGUACAGUGUGAUAGCAUGUCUAAUUUUUAGUUUACAAAGACACCAAAAUUACCUCCUUUCAGGAGUUUCAUCACCCUCAAAUCUCAUCUUAAACCUCAUCCCAACAGACAACUUGUAACUCUUGGCUUCUAGAUACUUGUUGAGACUAAUGAGAAACUCAGAUCGACUUGCUCUGGAGCAUUAAACAUAUCUUUAUGUCAGAUUCUAUUUUUGAAAAAGAAAAUAAAUUAAAAUUCACAUCUAAGAGAACUCUGUAGCUCGGAUGUAUCGAAAACCAGUACAGAAGGCAUAAAAUUAGCUAAAUGAUUAAGACCAGAAAAAAACCAAAUGUCAUAAUGCAAAUUCUUCAUUACAAAUUUAAGAAAUAGAGAAUAUAUACAAAUAGAGAACAUAAUUGCAUUAAAAAGCUGGACCAUCAAUAUCCUUGAAACAGUAUACAUGAACCUAGUCCCAUAUUACUUGCAAGCUAGCGUGUGAGCAAGAAUAGCAAGAUAUUCUGAGAGCAGAAUGCCAACUAAAAGUGUAACCUUGGUUUGUAGAAAACAGAAAAAAGUGUCCCAGUAGUGAUAGCAUGAGAUGCCGUUGCAAGAACUCCAAGAUGCAUGCUGUGACUGGAUAUCACGGAUGAUGGCAUAUUAUUUAGUUGCCUCAUGAGCCUCCUGACACCAACUCGCAGCUCACCGUUUUCCCCUCUGCCAUGAGAAUGUAGAUAGUAAUUCCCAAGUACAUAGUAAUUCAUUUACAAAAGUGCCACAAUUUAUGACCAGAAAAUAUGUUGAAUUUCUCAAAUGCCCAAUAAAAGCAAUGAUUUUCUGACCUUAAAAAUAUAAAAGCAUCACCAGCUACCAACCGCUUCGAGCUGACAUAUACACUCCAACCAGUUGUAAGCAGAUGGCGCCUAGGUUGACCUGAAAGAGUGAAAAUGCAAGUCUGACUCCACCAUCUAUGAACAACAUGAUCGCUACUUCGAUUCUGAACAAUAAUAAUAUUUGAUAAAAUCAUGAAGGUUGCAGUUUUUCAACUCAGAUUUUAUUGAAGAAAAUCAAUUUUGACACCUUAUGUUUAUUUAGGUACUACAAAAAAUGCAUAAUUUACUAAAAAUCACAUACUGACCCAAAAUAUCAGCUAAAACCAUAAGACAUAUCUGAUCAAGAAUGCUUUCUAUAAGACAGAGGUGUCUUGUGAUUUAUAGUAAACUUUUUGACGAAAAAUGUUUUGUUUCUUUUUUUAUCAGUAUAGAGUCAUCCAUACUAUCAAAGAACACAAGAUGUCAUAUGCAGUUGUCAAAUUAGCAAAGAAAUUCUCUGGCCCACACAAAAACAACGAAAACUAGAUAACGACUGGAGAACCUUAAGUUGCAGCAGUAGCAUAGGAAAAAUAAUGCAUCUUAUAGAGAUUGACAACUGAAUAAAUAUAAUAUAAACCUCGAAAAAUGUGACGAAACCGCCACUCAUUUUCAUGAAGAUCUUUGGCAACUAGUUCUUGCCAAGGUGGAUCCUGAGUCAUAUCCUACACAAGGAUGAAAGGAUUUAGCAAGAAAUUUACAGUAUGUGAAAAAUAAAAUGCUAAUCCAAUUCAUCUGCAACAAAGUUCAAAAUCUCCUAUUUGGAUUGAUACAUGAGCAUAUAAGCAACUUGCAAUAGCAACUAACCAAUGGAGGAAGGCAUUCAUCUGCAUGCCUCCUGAGAACUGAGAAACCUCCAUGGGUGCUUGUGUCGGAGGCAGUUAAAGUCUUACAGAAGGAAUGGAUCUUGCACCUUUCAGGCUCAGGUAAAGGAGGAUCUGGACUAGUGAUCUCACCUUCCUGAUGCAAAGAAAAAAAAUAAUCUUAGUAUAAAGUAUAAACAACAAAGAAAUAACAGAAGAAAAAUAUAGUAGCAUCAAAAUCAAAAGGCUAAUGAUGUAAAAGAAGAAAAAAACUAUCAAGAUACAUAAGUUGUUCUUGAACUUAUAAUCAGAAAAAAUAAUUUCGUGGAAGAAAUAGAGGAAAAACUUUCAUAGGAAUACAUUGCUUAUAAUCAACCCAUAAGAAGCAACUAAAGCUUCUAUUAUAACCUCAAAUCGUCUUAAUCUCUAAAAAAAGAGCACCUCAAAUUAUCAAGGGAGUUUUACAUAUAUCUACCUUUCAAGGUUUGAAAAUAGCAUAUUUGCCCCUUCAAAUUUUAAUAUUGCAUAUAUAUCCCUCCAAAUAUUUAGAUUUUACAUAUAUAUCAUGAUAAAAUCUUUCAUAUAUGCCACUCCCACUAGCAUCCAGCCAAUAAAGCCAAAGCCAAAGCCAAAGUUAACUACAACUAAUCAUAGUUAUCACUAAUUCAAUUUUUUUUCAAUUUUUAAAUACCUAAAACAUCCUUUAUUACUUUCACCAAUUAUUUGACCUCUCAUGUUUGUGAACAUUUGUGAAGAGUGAUUACAAUUUGAAUUCAACAUCAUCAUGCUAGCAAUGAACCAAUGGCUGUUAACUACAUAUAGCAUAUUUGCAAGUUUUUGAGCUUUGCAAAGAUAUAUAUACUAAACUUAAAUUUAGAGAAGCAUAUACAAAAUCUCUAACUUUAUAAGGAUAUAUGCGCAAAUUUACCAAAUGCUAAAUUUAUGCUAAAUUUGGAAACACUGCAUGACAUGAUUCCAUAAACAAAAUAUAAACUCCAUAAAGAAAGACUCACAUUUGGUUCAGGUAACAGUGUAAUUUGUGCAUACACUUCAUCUGUAUCUGGUUCUGCCUAUGAUGACAUUAUGCAAAGAAAAACAUAUCAUUUCUUUAUAUUACACCAUCAAACAUGAUGAAGAAUGGAAAGGUAGAAAUUAAACAUGACCCUUAAAGAACUUACUUUUAGUUCGACAUUCACCACCUUACACAGGAUUUUUGAUGGUAGAUUGAACACAGGCACAUGCUGGUCAAGCCCCUGAUUUGUUGAUGCCUCCAGCUACGACAAGGCAGAAACAAAAAAAAACACUGAGGCAGAGAAGACAAUCUAUCCAAUUUUAUUCUCUCAUUUAACAAGAUAAUGUAACCAUGAUGGAAUUAGUGAUCAACUACCCUUUGCCAGAAGAGCUGUAUCACUAGUAGCAAGUGACCAAAAACACUCAAACCAAGUAAAAGAAAGACAUUCAAAAGCUUGCAAGCACCUGUUCCAUGUGACCUUGGGGAAAGUAAUAUGCUCGUUCGCCUUUACGAGGUAAGGUAACCAAGGGUCCAGCACAUGCAUGCCAUAGUUCAUCAUACAAGGCAUCACCAGAAGUCCCUGGAGAAAGAGGAAUAAAUAAUAAAAAUUGUUACUGCAGCUCCAAGAACAAAUGAGUUGUAAGACUAACCCAUGAUUGAAAGAUCAUUAUUUAGAAAUAUUCCGUCUAUUAAAAGGAAAUUUUAAGGACCAGCAGUUUAAAAGAGAAUAAAAGAAUAGUUCUAUGAGGCUACGAGUCGGGAAAAGGACAAGCCAAAAUCUUUACAGAACUGCACAAAAUCUGAGAGACUUGAAACCAUCAAACAUCUUGAGGAAACAAUAAUGAAAAAGAGCAAACCCUCUUAAAAAUGAAAAAAAAAACAAUUUUAGAACCAAUAAGAAGACUAUGAAGGAAACACAAGAAAAGACAAAAGGUAAAUUGAAACAUCCAACCAAGCAGCACAUUAACAGAACUUAAAGUGAAAACAACAGAGGACCAAAAAAAAUCACGUAAUGUGUGAGAAAAGCUAGCCAAAAAAAACUUUUUAAUUUGUGUACUUAAUUGAUUUCUACAAAAAAAAAUAUUUAUAUAUCCAGGAGCACGGAUUUCCUCAAGGUACAAAAAGUAAUACAUAAGGCAAAUAGCUAAAAAUAGAAGAGAAAAAGAAAUAAAGAUUGAAAGGAACAGGAUAUCUCAAGCAUAAAAAAGAACAUAUUAGAAAUGCAAUCAUGGAAAAGAAAUAAAUAUUAACUUAACAAAUACUAAACACAAACCGAUAACUGAUGAGAUAUUCAGGUGAGGCAACGCCAUGUUGCCUUGAGAACGCACUGAACCCCCUCAGCAACUCAAUUAGGAAAGAAUUGAUCUUUAAAUAAAAGCGCAAUGAAAUAGAUAGUUUGUCCCCAUCACCACAAAUCUUUCACCACCGUAGAACGAAACUCAAAGCAGAUGAUAAACAACGGAGGAUAUGAUCUCUUCUUCUUCUUCUUCUUCCAAACCUUCAAGACAAAAUAAAUAUUCAGAAAAGCCCAGUGAUCACACAUGUAUUAAUUCCAACCCCAAAUUCCAGUCCACCUAGAAACCCCUAGGAAAGCAACAUAAACCUGGUUACUUCCGUGGAGGUGCAACACUUAGCCUUGCAUCUGAAGCCUACCUCCGAUCCCGGCUUUGACGCUUUUAGUCCGGUGAAAAAGGAACCCUAGAAGCGUUCCCUCGCAGCCCCUCUACUCUUCUACUUACAGGACACCAUCUUUAACGGCCGAAAGGUACAAUAAAGGCGGUCCUCUUCGCCUCUCCCGGGUUUCCCGAAAGCCCUGUAACAGAAAGGCCACGCCUUUGCUGCGAAUUCCUCUUAAGAAUCACAGAUCUGAAGCGAGUAACACCGGAAUUUUUCCGGACUUAAAAGCCCCAGUACGAUGUUGAAGUUUGUUUUGCUCUGCGCACCAGAUCCCUUCAAAAUUCGUGUCGACCUUCAAGUUCCUCCGAUAUAACGGAAUCCUACAGAAAGAACAAGAAAACGAAUCGACUGAAACACUAAGAACACUUGAUACCGACAUGAAGAGCUCAAAUUAGAUGAAUCUACCUCAAUCGAUCAAUAUUCAGAACUCCAAUCAAACUUCCUCUUCCAAAGCCCCCAAGCACCGGACAGCAUCCCAGUUCCACGACGGACGACGCACCAAUCCUUCGGAGAAGACACCCGAACCCCGAAAAAUCCACAAUUCCCACCGAAACCUAUCACUUUCCUUUCCGUUCUCUGGUCGGGGAAGCCGACGCAAAAACUGGAUCGAUCUGAACCCUAAAUCAAAAUCAGAAUCGCGAGGAGGAAGGAUACGAAGGAGAGCAUUUGCAGAAAUGUCCGGAUUUAAGGAAUAAGGAUUGGGUCUAUUUUUUAUUAUUUCUUUGUGUGUGUCUGUGCUGCCUCUGCGAGACCCUACACGGCCCCUUCGGCGACGCUGUCUGCUGCCCACCAUAUAUUUCAUACAAGGCGCGAGACAAAAUGUAACUUGCAACCGUCCCCUUUGGGCGCCACGACAACCUUCUUCCCGAUUUGACUCGUUUAUUUCCUUCUAAGUCGCUUAGGUGUCUAUCAUCCGAACGCCACUGGACGAAGCAUUUUGCAAACGGUUCUUGGAGGUUAGUUCUGUCGCUUGUCCGCUUCCUAGCGCGCCUUCUUCCAUCCCUUCCCCCGCGGGUGCAAGUCACCUAUCCGGAACCAGCACAUCGUACGGAUCAUACGUCUCCAAUGUUGACGCAGUGAAUAUGAUCGAUCUGCUGUGGCUUUUGGUACGCUGUACCGGAGGAAGAAAUUAGGCGAUCCCUUGGCGUGGGCGAAUCCCAGCCGCCAGAUCCGACCCCUCUCCUUCGCCAUGGAUCACAGUGAAAUCACGGAAAUGCCCUCGACAGGGAAGGAGGACGCGGUUCUUGUGAUCCGCAGUUCGUCGGGGAAACCGCAGACGUGUAGGAUAGUUUUUGCUGGGCUGCGUUUCUCCCGUGACGCGGCGCAACUUGGUCUUGAUUUCAUGCGCGAUGCCAGGCAGCGUUCAGGUCUCGUGCGGUGAGAGCUCUCCCACGCCACGGCUUAGAGUGGAGCCCUCUUAGAAUUGGUGGGCCCGGGGCCCAUUGCCUGCACUCUGGAUUAGGCAGCAUAAAAUUAUUGGCCAUCGUAUAACAAUUAAUAUAUGAUAUUAAUACUACAAACCACUGAAUUUAUUAUGCACAAUUAAUAGUUUUUUAAUAUCCACUGAAGUGAUACCUGCGAAUAUAUAAUAUAUAUUAAUCGUAACAUUGAAGUGAUUACUAUGUAUGAUUGACCACCUAUAUUACUUUUUGAAUCUAAAUUUAAAUUACACUAUAUAUAUAUAUUAUUAUUGGGAGAAAUGUUGGUGUGCAGGUUCCAAUGGAAUCUCACGUUACUUCUAGUCUUCAUCCUCGUCCAAAAUAGAAGAAUCUUGAUAUGAAUUGGAUUGGUCAACUAAUAAUUAUCAUAUGGAAAACACAAAGACUACUUUUCCUCUUUUUUUUUUUGGAAAAUUAGAUAUAUUAUAAAAAAGGUUAUCGUGUCUUCCGUACGCUUGACACGUACGACGACGCCACUCGAUCAUUGCCGUCCAUUUACCGUGGUGGUCAACCUUAAGUCUCCAAGAAGGACACCCUCUCUACGCCAUCCGGUCGAGAAAUAAACGUACCCGUGUGGUGACUGGAGAGAAGAGGUGGGGUCCGCUGUUGAGGUGAGUCUUCACGCCCGCAAGAGAAAGUGUCUUGUGCUUUCCCGGGUGAUACCGAACGUUCCGAGGUGCCACUAGGAAUAAUGUAAGCACCCGCGAUUGGAACCCUCUCGUGUCGAACCCUGAACCGUCUGAUCUCAUCGCAUGAGGCAUCCUGCGGCUGCGAUGUGCUACGCGCGCUUCCGACCUUGUACGAAC